RNAcentral lists this ribosomal RNA (570 nucleotides) under Salmonella enterica. RNAcentral describes it as "bacterial SSU rRNA". It matches the Rfam family "Bacterial small subunit ribosomal RNA", at positions 533 to 1102 of the family's 1533-position model. The record is from RNAcentral. Lineage: Bacteria; Pseudomonadati; Pseudomonadota; Gammaproteobacteria; Enterobacterales; Enterobacteriaceae.
UGCAAGCGUUAAUCGGAAUUACUGGGCGUAAAGCGCACGCAGGCGGUCUGUCAAGUCGGAUGUGAAAUCCCCGGGCUCAACCUGGGAACUGCAUUCGAAACUGGCAGGCUUGAGUCUUGUAGAGGGGGGUAGAAUUCCAGGUGUAGCGGUGAAAUGCGUAGAGAUCUGGAGGAAUACCGGUGGCGAAGGCGGCCCCCUGGACAAAGACUGACGCUCAGGUGCGAAAGCGUGGGGAGCAAACAGGAUUAGAUACCCUGGUAGUCCACGCCGUAAACGAUGUCUACUUGGAGGUUGUGCCCUUGAGGCGUGGCUUCCGGAGCUAACGCGUUAAGUAGACCGCCUGGGGAGUACGGCCGCAAGGUUAAAACUCAAAUGAAUUGACGGGGGCCCGCACAAGCGGUGGAGCAUGUGGUUUAAUUCGAUGCAACGCGAAGAACCUUACCUGGUCUUGACAUCCACAGAACUUUCCAGAGAUGGAUUGGUGCCUUCGGGAACUGUGAGACAGGUGCUGCAUGGCUGUCGUCAGCUCGUGUUGUGAAAUGUUGGGUUAAGUCCCGCAACGAGCGCAAC